AGGAUUAACGCUGGCGGCGUGCCUAAUGCAUGCAAGUCGAACGGGGUUCCUUCGGGGGCUUACGUGGCGGACGGGUGAGGAACACGUGGGGAAUCUGUCCCGAGGUGGGGGGUAGCCCGCGGAAACGUGGGGUAAUUCCGCAUGAGCACGCUCUUUGAGUAGGGGGAGCGUGGAAAGAUCUUCGGAUCGCCUUGGGGGGAGCCUGCGGCCGAUUAGCUAGUUGGUGGGGUAACGGCUUACCAAGGCAGUGAUCGGUAGCUGGUCUGAGAGGACGGCCAGCCACAUGGGGGACUGAGACACGGCCCCAACUCCUACGGGAGGCAGCAGCAAGGAAUUUCCGCAAUGGGCGAAAGCCUGACGGAGCAACGCCGCGUGCGGGAUGACGCUUUUCGGAGUGUAAACCGCUUUUCUCAGGGAAGAUGAAGGACGGUACCUGAGGAAUAAGGCCCGGCUAACUACGCGCCAGCAGCCGC
This 473-nucleotide ribosomal RNA is filed under the name uncultured bacterium. RNAcentral describes it as "SSU rRNA". It matches the Rfam family "Bacterial small subunit ribosomal RNA", at positions 26 to 518 of the family's 1533-position model. The record is from RNAcentral.